ACUCCUACGGGAGGCAGCAGUAGGGAAUAUUGGUCAAUGGAUGGAAGUCUGAACCAGCCAUGCCGCGUGCAGGAAGAAGGCCUUCUGGGUUGUAAACUGCUUUUGCCAGGGGAUAAAAUGACCUUGCGAGGUUAAUUGAAGGUACCUGGUGAAUAAGCCACGGCUAACUACGUGCCAGCAGCCGCGGUAAUACGUAGGUGGCAAGCGUUGUCCGGAUUUAUUGGGUUUAAAGGGUGCGUAGGCGGUCUAUUAAGUCAGUGGUGAAAUACUCUAGCUCAACUAGAGGGGUGCCAUUGAUACUGAUGGACUUGAGUACAGAUGAGGUAGGCGGAAUUGACGGUGUAGCGGUGAAAUGCUUAGAUAUCGUCAAGAACACCUAUAGCGAAGGCAGCUUACUAGGCUGUAACUGACGCUGAGGCACGAAAGUGUGGGGAUCAAACAGGAUUAGAUACCCUGGUAGUCCACACUGUAAACGUUGAUUACUCGCUGUGUGCGAUAUACAGUACGCGGCCAAGCGAAAGCGAUAAGUAAUCCACCUGGGGAGUACGCCGGCAACGGUGAAACUUAAAGGAAUUGACGG
Molecule: ribosomal RNA, 580 nt
Filed under: uncultured Ohtaekwangia sp.
Lineage: Bacteria; Pseudomonadati; Bacteroidota; Cytophagia; Cytophagales; Fulvivirgaceae
Description: bacterial SSU rRNA
Rfam family: Bacterial small subunit ribosomal RNA
Source: RNAcentral